This 253-nucleotide ribosomal RNA is filed under the name uncultured bacterium. RNAcentral's name for it is "partial 16S ribosomal RNA". It matches the Rfam family "Bacterial small subunit ribosomal RNA", at positions 524 to 776 of the family's 1533-position model. The record is from RNAcentral.
UACGUAGGGUGCAAGCGUUGUCCGGAAUUAUUGGGCGUAAAGAGCUCGUAGGCGGUUUGUCGCGUCUGCUGUGAAAACUGGAGGCUCAACCUCCAGCCUGCAGUGGGUACGGGCAAACUAGAGUGCGGUAGGGGAGAUUGGAAUUCCUGGUGUAGCGGUGGAAUGCGCAGAUAUCAGGAGGAACACCGGUGGCGAAGGCGGCCCGCUGGGCAGAGACUGACGCUGAGGCGCGACAGCGUGGGGAGCAAACAGG